Molecule: ribosomal RNA, 1020 nt
Filed under: uncultured organism
Description: bacterial SSU rRNA
Rfam family: Bacterial small subunit ribosomal RNA
Source: RNAcentral
GGGGAAGAGAAAAAGGACGGUACCCCCAGAAUAAGUCCCGGCNAACUACGGUGCCAGCAGCCGCGGUAAAACGUAGGGGACAAGCGUUAUCCGGAUUCACUGGGCGUAAAGAGCGUUGAGGCGGUUCCGUAAUUUGGGCGUGAAAGCUCCGGGCUUAACUCGGAGAUGUCGUUCAAUACUGCGGGGCUUGAGGACAGCAGAGGAAGGUGGAAUUCCCGGUGUAGUGGUGAAAUGCGUAGAUAUCGGGAGGAACACCCGUGGCGAAGNCGGCCUUCUGGGCUGUUCCUGACGCUGAAGGCGAAAGCUAGGGGAGCGAACGGGAUUAGAUACCCCGGUAGUCCUAGCUGUAAACGAUGGAUGCUGGGUGUGGGGGGUGUAAAUUCCCUCUGUGCCGAAGCAAACGCGUUAAGCAUCCCGCCUGGGGACUACGGCCGCAAGGCUAAAACUCAAACGAAUUGACGGGGGCCCGCACAAGCAGCGGAGCGUGUGGUUUAAUUCGAUGCUACACGAAGAACCUUACCUGGGUUUGACAUGCACGUGGUAGGGAACCGAAAGGGGACCGACCUUCGGGAGCGUGCACAGGUGCUGCAUGGCUGUCGUCAGCUCGUGCCGUGAGGUGUCGGGUUAAGUCCCGUAACGAGCGCAACCCUUGCCCUUAGUUACAAGUGUCUAAGGGGACUGCCCGGGACAACUGGGAGGAAGGUGGGGAUGACGUCAAGUCAGCAUGGCCUUUAUAUCCAGGGCUACACACACGCUACAAUGGCCGGUACAAUAGGUUGCGAAGUCGUGAGGCGGAGCCAAUCCUCAAAGCCGGUCUCAGUUCGAAUUGCAGUCUGCAACUCGACUGCAUGAAGCUGGAGUUGCUAGUAAUCGCAGGUCAGCUAUACUGCGGUGAAUACGUUCCCGGGCCUUGUACACACCGCCCGUCACGUCAUGGAAGCUGGCAACGCCUGAAGCCGGUGAGCUAACCCGAAAGGGAGCAGCCGUCGAGGGUGGGGCUGGUAACUGGGACGAAGUCGU